CCAGGGAGGUCGGCAACGACCACCCAGGGCCGGAAAGUUGGUCAAACUCGGUCAUUUAGAGGAAGUAAAAGUCGUAACAAGGUCUCCGUAGGUGAACCUGCGGAGGGAUCAUU
Molecule: ribosomal RNA, 113 nt
Filed under: Zygophiala sp. T55A1c
Lineage: Eukaryota; Fungi; Ascomycota; Dothideomycetes; Mycosphaerellales; Schizothyriaceae
Description: partial 18S ribosomal RNA
Rfam family: Eukaryotic small subunit ribosomal RNA
Source: RNAcentral